AAACAGGUUACAUAAAGCCAAAAAUAAGCAUAUUAAUGAUGGAAAGAAAUUAAAUUAAUUUUUCAUAAAUCUCGAAGAACUAACCAAGCGGGUUAUGCCGAAUCGUAGAAGAAACAGCAGCUCCAGCAGCUGAAGCCUCUGAAACUUCUGCCUUGUUGCUAUUGUUAUUACCUACUUCAAAGAGGAAACACAAUAAUGAGAAGCUAAUCUUGAUUUCUUGAUAGUUUGUCGAUAUGUAUAUAUUUAGGUGGAUACAACUUGCUGGAACUUUGUUCAAUAAUCAUUAACAGAUGCAAAAUCAUUAAAUCAAACUAAUAGGUAAAAAAGAAGGAGAAUAAAUUAAAUGCAAGAACUCCCCACAGCUGAUGCCGUCUAGCUAAGAAUUAAGCCUUUUCUUCAACAUUCGUAGAAACAUAUUUAGUUCACAGGCUUUCAGUUUUUAGCAGUCUCUUCUCAUCUUUAAAGCCCAUGAAUUGUACAGGAUAUACGUUCUUUAGUCCUGAGAAAUGAACUAAUAUAAUAAUAGAACAGUAGAACAUACACAACUUGUUGUGACCAUAUAAUUGAAACAGAAAACUUAAAAUGCAAAUGGGAUAAUCAUACAAUAAGAUUCAAUUACAAGGGAAGCAAGAAGAGGCUGUAGCUACAAAAUUAUUGAAUAAAUUUUGCUGUACAUUGAAUUUAAAUGGUUUAUCGGAAUAGCCAAGCAAAAAAUUCACAUUAAAGAGAGGAGAGAAAGUUAUUACCUUUGUUUAGCAUAGGGGCUCGGGGGACAACAAGAAUAAGAGGAAAAUUACAUAAAAGAAAGAAGAGAAACUUGUUGCUUUUCUUUAGCAUAGAGAAUCAGCGCACAAUAAGGAGAGUUAAAACGGUCGAAUACAAUUGAAAUUGAGAAGCAGCAAAACACAAACAGUAGUCAAGUAAUGCAUUGAACUUGAAAAAAGCUCAC
This 949-nucleotide long non-coding RNA is filed under the name Erythranthe guttata (spotted monkey flower). RNAcentral describes it as "long non-coding RNA (EGUT_LNC001547)". The record is from RNAcentral. Lineage: Eukaryota; Viridiplantae; Streptophyta; Magnoliopsida; Lamiales; Phrymaceae.